GACGAACGCUGGCGGCGUGCUUAACACAUGCAAGUCGAACGGUAAGGCCCUUCGGGGUACACGAGUGGCGAACGGGUGAGUAACACGUGGGUGAUCUGCCCUGCACUUCGGGAUAAGCCUGGGAAACUGGGUCUAAUACCGGAUAGGACCACUGCCUGCAUGGGUGGUGGUGGAAAGCUUUUGCGGUAUGGGAUGGGCCCGCGGCCUAUCAGCUUGUUGGUGGGGUGAUGGCCUACCAAGGCGACGACGGGUAGCCGGCCUGAGAGGGUGACCGGCCACACUGGGACUGAGAUACGGCCCAGACUCCUACGGGAGGCAGCAGUGGGGAAUAUUGCACAGUGGGCGCAAGCCUGAUGCAGCGACGCCGCGUGAGGGAUGACGGCCUUCGGGUUGUAAACCUCUCUCAGCACCGACGAAGCGCAAGUGACGGUAGGUGCAGAAGAAGGACCGGCCAACUACGUGCCAGCCGCCGCAGUAA
Molecule: ribosomal RNA, 478 nt
Filed under: uncultured bacterium
Lineage: Bacteria
Description: partial 16S ribosomal RNA
Rfam family: Bacterial small subunit ribosomal RNA
Source: RNAcentral